GAUAUUGGACAAUGGGGGGAACCCUGAUCCAGCGACGCCGCGUGAGUGAAGAAGUAUCUCGGUAUGUAAAGCUCUAUCAGCAGGGAAGAAUCAUGACGGUACCUGAGUAAGAAGCCCCGGCUAACUACGUGCCAGCAGCCGCGGUAAUACGUAGGGGGCAAGCGUUAUCCGGAAUUACUGGGUGUAAAGGGAGCGUAGACGGUGAUGUAAGUCUGGAGUGAAAGGCGGGGGCCCAACCCCCGGACUGCUCUGGAAACUGUAUGACUGGAGUGCAGGAGAGGUAAGCGGAAUUCCUAGUGUAGCGGUGAAAUGCGUAGAUAUUAGGAGGAACACCAGUGGCGAAGGCGGCUUACUGGACUGUAACUGACGUUGAGGCUCGAAAGCGUGGGGAGCAAACA
Molecule: ribosomal RNA, 398 nt
Filed under: uncultured bacterium
Lineage: Bacteria
Description: partial 16S ribosomal RNA
Rfam family: Bacterial small subunit ribosomal RNA
Source: RNAcentral